UGGUUCUGGCAUNGAUGAAGAACGCAGCAAAAUGCGAUAAGUAAUGUGAAUUGCAGAAUUCAGUGAAUCAUCGAAUCUUUGAACGCACAUUGCGCCCGCCAGUAUUCUGGCGGGCAUGCCUGUUCGAGCGUCAUUUCAACCCUCAAGCACAGCUUGGUGUUGGGAUUCGCGGGGUAACCCGCGGUCCCCAAAUCGAUUGGCGGUCACGUCGAGCUUCCAUAGCGUAGUAAUUUAUUCUCGUUACUGGUAAUCGUCGCGGCCAUGCCGUUAAACCCCAACUUCUGAAUGUUGACCUCGGAUCAGGUAGGAAUACCCGCUGA
Molecule: unclassified non-coding RNA, 320 nt
Filed under: uncultured fungus
Lineage: Eukaryota; Fungi
Description: partial contains 5.8S ribosomal RNA and internal transcribed spacer 2
Rfam family: 5.8S ribosomal RNA (bases 1-133)
Source: RNAcentral